AGCGAACGCUGGCGGCAGGCCUAACACAUGCAAGUCGAACGGACCCUUCGGGGUUAGUGGCGGACGGGUGAGUAACACGUGGGAACGUGCCCUUUGGUACGGAACAACUCAGGGAAACUUGAGCUAAUACCGUAUAAGCCCUACUGGGGAAAGAUUUAUCGCUUGAAGAGGAGCUUGCGGCAGAUUAGCUUGUUGGUAAGGUAACGGCUUACCAAGGCUACGAUCUGUAUCCGGUCUAAGAGGACGGUCGGACACACUGACACUGAAUAACGGGUCAGACUCCUACGGGAGGCAGCAGUCGGGAAUUUUGGGCAAUGGGGGAAACCCUGACCAGCAACGCCGCGUGAAGGAUGAAGUAUUUCGGUAUGUAAACUUCGAAAGAAUAGGAAGAAUUAAUGACGGUACUAUUUAUAAGGUCCGGCUAACUACGUGCCAGCAGCCGCGGUAAU
This 449-nucleotide ribosomal RNA is filed under the name uncultured bacterium. Its description in RNAcentral is "bacterial SSU rRNA". It matches the Rfam family "Bacterial small subunit ribosomal RNA", at positions 29 to 524 of the family's 1533-position model. The record is from RNAcentral.